RNAcentral lists this ribosomal RNA (468 nucleotides) under uncultured bacterium. Its description in RNAcentral is "partial 16S ribosomal RNA". It matches the Rfam family "Bacterial small subunit ribosomal RNA", at positions 28 to 507 of the family's 1533-position model. The record is from RNAcentral.
GACGAACGCUGGCGGCGUGCUUAACACAUGCAAGUCGAACGGAAAGGCCCUGCUUUUGUGGGGUGCUCGAGUGGCGAACGGGUGAGUAACACGUGAGUAACCUGCCCUUGACUUUGGGAUAACUUCAGGAAACUGGGGCUAAUACCGGAUAGGAGCUCCUGCUGCAUGGUGGGGGUUGGAAAGUUUCGGCGGUUGGGGAUGGACUCGCGGCUGAUGAGCUAGUUGGUUGGGGAGUGGCUGACCAAGGCUUUGGCGGGUAGCCGGCCUGAGAGGGUGACCGGCCACAUUGGGCCUGCGAUACGGCCCAGACUCCUACGGGGGGCAGAAGUGGGGAAUAUUGCCCAAUGGGCGGAAGCCUGAUGCAGCAACGCCGCGUGCGGGAUGACGGCCUUCGGGUUGUAAACCGCUUUCGCCUGUGACGAAGCGUGAGUGACGGUAAUGGGUAAAGAAGCACCGGCUAACUACGUG